CCACACAAAAAUAAUUAAAUAACACUGUCAAUCCAUACCACAACAAGUCAAUCAACACUACUAUCGUUAUAGUGGGGCGUUACAAAUAACAUCAUCAAUCAACUAAAUAAUUAAAUAAAAUGAAUUCUAAUUUUUGGGGCGUUACAGUGGUGGCUGAAAUAAAGAAACGCAGAAGGACUACGCAAAAAAUGAAAGCAACCCCGAAAUAGAAGACAAAAAGUAAAGGCUAAAACAGAAGCCGAAGUGAAUACAGCCCCAAAAACCGAUAACCACUGUCGAGGCCACCCAAAACCACCGUUGCAGUGAUGUAAACUUGGAGUUGCA
RNAcentral lists this long non-coding RNA (324 nucleotides) under Trifolium pratense (red clover). RNAcentral's name for it is "long non-coding RNA (TPRA_LNC013436)". The record is from RNAcentral. Lineage: Eukaryota; Viridiplantae; Streptophyta; Magnoliopsida; Fabales; Fabaceae.